UGCUUGGUAACUUAGUUGGUACAGCACUCGCCUUGCAUACAGAAGUCGUGUGUUCGAAUCCCACCUGAGCAC
RNAcentral lists this transfer RNA (72 nucleotides) under Aedes aegypti (yellow fever mosquito). RNAcentral describes it as "partial tRNA-OTHER". The record is from RNAcentral. Lineage: Eukaryota; Metazoa; Arthropoda; Insecta; Diptera; Culicidae.